AAUAUUUUCUAUCAAGUUCCAACCAAGCAUCAGCAUUCUUUGUGCUCAUACUAUUUGAAUUGUUACCAUUACCGCUCUCUAAAAACUAAAAUAAAACUCAUCCAAUAUUUGCUUACAGCAACAGAAACACAGGCUUGGCUUUUGUUCUUACCUCAGUAAGUGAUACAGGUGCUUUUUAAAUAGUGGAACUCCCAAACAGAAAACUCUCAUAUUCAGAACUUUUUUUUUCUUGCUGGAGGGGAUCAUCUUGCGUCAAUUGCGAACUUCAGCCUUCCAUAAUCAAUAUAUCUACAGCUACAAGAUAGUUUCACACCCGGUGGGAACAGAAAAGGAAAAAAUUCUGGCACUUGCUAUGAAGAGUAACUUUCAGACCAACUGUUAGAAAUGAUAUUAUUUGACUUCUCCAGUAGAACUAGCCCGAUGCUGCCUUCAAGCAUAGCGCCUGCGCGUUGAUGUCUUGAUGUGAUUGUGUCCACAUGAGAGCCUAUAUUGGUCAUAAUAAUCGAGUGUUAUGAGGUAAAGUAAAACAAAACAAAAAACAUGAAUAAUGUCUCGAGUAUCAUAUGUAGGAUAUCCACGUGAUAAUCUUGCUGGAACACAAAAGUGGAACAUUUGUAGUAGAGCGGUACCAUCAGCUUAACAAGACCCCCAUCAAGAACUACCUAUAUUAUUGUAAAUCACAUCACAACUAUUAAUCAUUGUUCAAGUAAAAUCUGCCUUCGCUAAAUUGGCCUAAGUCUUGCAGGUUUCUUAACAUAAGAUUAAGAUCCAUCGGGUACAUACUUCACAAUGCCCGCUGAGCAGUGUGCAAAGCACCACAAACUUGUCUAUUGUUAAGAACAAGAUAUACAAGUGGCACCAAGCUGAACAUGGUACAUUUACCAAUGUUUUUCUGUGCAAUGUAAUUUGCUUAAGCAUGUUCAGAAUUCACAAAUAAUUGAGCAAAAUAAUGCAUCUCAUCACUCAUGAUACAAACUACCACGGAGAAUAGCAUUCCUUUCACAAAUCUAAUAAUGAAAUGGGUUAUCGAUAGUGCAAUAGUUACAAAGCAGACCUGUCAGAUUCCCAAUUUCCAACAUCUUAAAUGGAAAACCUAAAUCGAUACUCUAAUAUGUAUUCCAGUUCCAUGUGAUAUACAACUAAGGUUUUGCCGGUGGUAUUGAGGUAAUCAUGUAACUGUGAUACAAGUGUUGCAGAGAACCAAUUUGUCCCAGAAUAGAUCUCCCUAGUAUCUACAAUGUUGUCUAGCAACCUAUGCGCAAGUACAUACGCGUGGGGCAAGAUAGUGCGACUGCCACAACUAACCUCAGAGCCUCUAGAAGAGGAAAGAGCUUCAUCAUUUCACAUCUUGUUUGACGCCAUAAAUUUGAUUUUUCUCUCAGCAGGUUUGAGAAUUUGAAAUGAACACAUCAAAGUUUCAUCAACACUCAUCAUUGCUCCAGCAUUAUCAAAUUCACCACAAUAGUUGGGAGCCGAAAAUAUGGUGACCAGCUGUCUGUCAGCAAAGAAUUCAUACCCAUCCUCAACAACCUAUAUCAGAUGAAAUACGUAAACACCUUAAUUUCCAAGAAAGUAAUAAACAAGAUGAUGUAUUAGAGAUUUAGAUUUUAGAGUAGUACCUGGUGGGCACGGCAAAUAAGAUCAAGAUCAUGCUUUAGAAGGAACUCCGUAACUUUGUCAUGGCCAAAUGUGUAUGAAACGCCCCUAUCAUUCAUGCCCCACCCUUGGACAUCUUUUCCUGGAUCAGACCAAAGAAGAUCGCAUAGUAGACCUGUAUCUGGCACAUCGGUAGGACGGGGC
This 1800-nucleotide long non-coding RNA is filed under the name Triticum aestivum (bread wheat). RNAcentral's name for it is "long non-coding RNA (TAES_LNC004629)". Lineage: Eukaryota; Viridiplantae; Streptophyta; Magnoliopsida; Poales; Poaceae. The record is from RNAcentral.